Long non-coding RNA from Homo sapiens (human), 1364 nucleotides. Ensembl annotates it as long intergenic non-protein coding RNA 1152. NCBI's taxonomy places the organism in Eukaryota, Metazoa, Chordata, Mammalia, Primates, Hominidae. The record is from Ensembl.
AGUGAAGGAAUUGGUUACUCUCCCAGAGCCCUCCCGGGCAUCGCCCCCUUCCUCACUUCCUCCUCUUCCUGCCCCCAGCCUCUACCCCUCCAGCCUCCUGUGGCUUCACAGGCAAGUGCCGCAUCCCAGGAAGAAGGAGUUGGAGCUCCGUGAUGUUCUGGAAGCUGAGAAGUCUAAGGUCAAGACUCCAGUGGAUUACGCAUCUGGCGAGAGCCUACUUCCUGGUUUGUAGACAUACCUGAGACUGGGCAAUCUACAAAAGAAAGAAGUUUAAUGGACUUACAGGUUCACGUAGCUGGGGAAGCCUCACAAUCAUGGCAGAAGGCAAGGAGAAGCAAGUUACAUCUUACAUGGGCAGCAGCAGCCAUUCAAAAACAGAUGAGAUGGGGACAGAUUUAACCCAAAGGACAUAGUUCAACUCCUGGUCUUGACAGAGGAGAAGCCCUCAAAGAUGGAGUCUCACUCUGUUGCCAGGCUAGAAUACAAUGGCACGAACUUGGCUCACUGCAACCUCCGCCUCCUGGGUUCAAGAGAUUCUCCUGCCUCAGCGUCCUGAGUUGCUGGGACUACGGGCACACACCAUCAUGCCCAGCUAAUUUUUGUAUUUUUAGUAGAGACAGGGUUUCACCAUGUUGACCAGGAUGGUCUCGAUCUCUUGACCUCGUGAUCUGCCCACGUCGGCCUCCCAAAGUCCUGGGAUUACAGGCAUGAGCCAGUGCGCCUAGCAAACGACAGCUUUUUGAGCCUCUGUUUAACAAUCUCUUAAACCUUAUAGGUAGGCAGUUCUGAGACAGCUCCUAAUCAUCUCCCCUCCUGGUAUUCAAGCCCUGAUGGAAUACUCUCUUCUUCAAUGUGAGCUGGACUUAGUGGUUUUCUUCUAAUCCAUUGAAUACACACAAGUGAUGAGCUGUCAUUUCCAAAAUUAGUUCACACAAAGCUGUAACUUUUGUUUUGUUCACAGCCUCUCUCAAUUGCCUUCUCAGCUUGUAUGCUUUGAAGAAGCAAGCUGCAGUGUUGGAGAGGCCCAUGUGGCAAGGAAAUGAGGGUGGCCUCCAGUCAAUGGCUGGUGAGAAACUGAGACCUUCCUUCCAACAAUUGUCAAGUAACUGAAUACUCCCAACAAUCAUAUGGGUUAGGUUAGAAGUGAACCUUUCUCUAGUUGAGGUUUCAGAUAAGACCACAGAUAUUAUACUAACACCUUGAUUGCAGGCUUAUGAGAAACCUUGAAAUGAGAAGACUAAGUAAAACCAUAUCUGGAUUCCUGACUUGCAGAAACUGUGUGAUGAUAAAUGUGUGUUAUCUUAAGCCACAAAGUUUUUGGGGUGAUUUGUUCUACAGCAAUUGAUAAUGAAUACUUCAACCUA